This 435-nucleotide ribosomal RNA is filed under the name uncultured bacterium. Its description in RNAcentral is "partial 16S ribosomal RNA". It matches the Rfam family "Bacterial small subunit ribosomal RNA", at positions 29 to 507 of the family's 1533-position model. The record is from RNAcentral.
AGCGAACGCUGGCGGCAGGCUUAACACAUGCAAGUCGAACGGGCAUCUUCGGAUGUCAGUGGCAGACGGGUGAGUAACACGUGGGAACGUACCCUUCGGUUCGGAAUAACUCAGGGAAACUUGAGCUAAUACCGGAUACGCCCUUUUGGGGAAAGGUUUACUGCCGAAGGAUCGGCCCGCGUCUGAUUAGCUUGUUGGUGGGGUAACGGCCUACCAAGGCGACGAUCAGUAGCUGGUCUGAGAGGAUGAUCAGCCGCACUGGGACUGAGACACGGCCCAGACUCCUACGGGAGGCAGCAGUGGGGAAUAUUGGAUAAUGGGCGCAAGCCUGAUCCAGCCAUGCCGCGUGAGUGAUGAAGGCCUUAGGGUUGUAAAGCUCUUUUGUCCGGGACGAUAAUGACGGUACCGGAAGAAUAAGCCCCGGCUAACUUCGUG